This 295-nucleotide ribosomal RNA is filed under the name uncultured bacterium. RNAcentral describes it as "partial 16S ribosomal RNA". It matches the Rfam family "Bacterial small subunit ribosomal RNA", at positions 775 to 1067 of the family's 1533-position model. The record is from RNAcentral.
GGAUUAGAUACCCUGGUAGUCCAUGCCGUAAACGAUGAGUGCUAGACGUUGGGAAUAUAUUUUUCAGUGUCGCAGCGAAAGCAUUAAGCACCCCGCCUGGGGAGUACGAUCGCAAGAUUAAAACUCAAAGGAAUUGACGGGGACCCGCACAAGCAGUGGAGCAUGUGGUUUAAUUCGAAGAUACGCGCAGAACCUUACCAACGCUUGACAUGUUCGUCGCGAGACUAAGAGAUUAGUCUUUUCAGCUCGGCUGGACGAAACACAGGUGCUGCAUGGCUGUCGUCAGCUCGUGCUG